UGAAGUCUUUGAGGCGGGGUGCGAUUCCCCACCGGCGGUACAGCCCGCAAGCCGAGAGGCAUGAUCCGGUGUGAUUCCGGAGCCGACAGUAUAGUCUGGAUGAUAAAAGACGGUC
Molecule: non-coding RNA, 115 nt
Filed under: Schwartzia succinivorans
Lineage: Bacteria; Bacillati; Bacillota; Negativicutes; Selenomonadales; Selenomonadaceae
Also listed under: 1 other name
Description: FMN sequence
Rfam family: FMN riboswitch aptamer (RFN element)
About the family: The RFN element is a highly conserved domain that is found frequently in the 5'-untranslated regions of prokaryotic mRNAs that encode for flavin mononucleotide (FMN) biosynthesis and transport proteins. This element is a metabolite-dependent riboswitch that directly binds FMN in the absence of proteins.
Source: RNAcentral